Non-coding RNA from Salmo salar (Atlantic salmon), 590 nucleotides. NCBI's taxonomy places the organism in Eukaryota, Metazoa, Chordata, Actinopteri, Salmoniformes, Salmonidae. The record is from RefSeq and is a predicted model, not a curated record.
CCAGAUAUUAUUGCAUCCAAAGAUCAACUGUACCUAGAACAUAGAUACAGAGCCACUUGUCAUCAGGAAGCUGCUCUCUCAGCACAACGGAAAAUAUCUCAAUGACUUGACAUGUUCUGGUUGUGAAUUCAAGCUACAAGGGGACAGUGCUCUAAAAUGAGUAUCUCUGGGGAGAGAGAGAAGGGGGGCCCUGCCUCUAAAAUGAGUCUCUCAGGGGAACAUGACACCCAAACUAAGAGUCAGGGGCAGUAUGACUGUAGCCAGAUCCUUUUCAAUCUCUAUCCUUGUUCAAUUUGUGGUUCACCGGAUUCAUCAUCAUCAUCGAGACGAGGUACAGAACGUCCUGCUAACUAGCCAAGCUAGUCAGUACAUUAAGUAAGCUAGCUAGCUACUCUACCAACAGCAUCCUAGUUAUCCUAUCCUAACAUUAUCACCGGCUGCCUGUAUUUCUUGUGGACCGAUGGAGCUCCCCGGUUGUUUCUUCCACCUGUUAAAUCCCGUGGAGUGCUUCUCUCUCUCAUUGACGGAUGCUGGUUACCUCUAUCUGGUUCUCCUCUCUUCACUAGAUUGACGAUAACUUUAGGAUUUAA